RNAcentral lists this ribosomal RNA (2166 nucleotides) under human gut metagenome. RNAcentral's name for it is "bacterial LSU rRNA". It matches the Rfam family "Bacterial large subunit ribosomal RNA", at positions 496 to 2647 of the family's 2925-position model. The record is from RNAcentral.
CAGUACCGUGAGGGAAAGGUGAAAAGCACCCCGGGAGGGGAGUGAAACAGUACCUGAAACCGUGCGCCCACGAGCAGUCGGAGCAACUUUAUGUUGUGACGGCGUGCCUUUUGUAGAAUGAGCCAGCGAGUCGCUGGCGCGGGGCGAGGUUAACCGAAAGGGAGCCGGAGCGAAAGCGAGCCUUAACAGGGCGACUUGAGUCCCGCGCCGCGGACGCGAAGCCGGGUGAGCUAUCCGUGGGCAGGCUGAAGCGGGGGUAAGACCCCGUGGAGGGCCGAACGCACGUCGGUUGAAAACGGCGGCGAUGACCUGCGGAUAGGGGUGAAAGGCCAAUCAAACCCGGAGAUAUCUCGUUCUCCCCGAAAUAGCUUUAGGGCUAGCGUCGCGCGUUCACCGCCGGAGGUAGAGCACCGGAUGGACGAGGGGGCUUCGCCGCCUACCGAAUCCAACCGAACUCCGAAUGCCGGCGGCCCAGAGCGCGGCAGUCAGAGCAUGUGGGCUAAGCUGUGUGCUCGAGAGGGAAACAGCCCGGACCGCCCGCUAAGGUCCCCAAGUUCCAGCCGAGUGGCAAAGGAUGUGCGUCCGCCCAGACAACCAGGAUGUUGGCUUAGAAGCAGCCAUCCAUUCAAAGAGUGCGUAACAGCUCACUGGUCGAGUGGACAUGCGCCGACAAUACACGGGGCUAAGCUGGACACCGAAGCGGCGGGAUUUUGAUUUUCAGAAUCGGUAGGGGAGCUUCCCAUGGGCGGUGAAGCCGCCGGGCGACCGGCGGUGGAGCGCAUGGGAGUGAGAAUGCUGGCAUGAGUAGCGAGAGACGAGAGAGUAACUCGUCCGCCGUGAACCCGAGGUUUCCUGGGCAAGGCUAAUCCUCCCAGGGUCAGUCGGGGGCUAAGGCGAGGCCGGAAGGCGUAGCCGACGCGCAGCAGGCAGACAUUCCUGCACCGCGCACGCGGCGCUACGACCGACGGGGCGACGGAUGGGGGUGGCUCGGCGGGGUUCUGGACGUCCCCGUGAUGGAGCGCGGCCCGCGGACCAGGGAAAUCCGGUCCGCACGAGGGCGAGGCUCCGGACGAAGCAUCUGAGCGAAGCGAGUGAGCCCGAGGUCCCUAGAAAAACCCCUAGGCAGGCGCGUGCGCGCCCGUACCGCAAACCGACACAGGUGGGUGGGUAGAACAUACCGAGGCGAUCGGGUCAACCAUGGUCAAGGAACUCGGCACAAUGGCCCCGUAACUUCGGGAGAAGGGGUGCCCGCGCGUACGUGAACGGACUUGCUCCGGGAGCGGAGGCGGGCCGCAGUGGAGAGGCCCAAGCGACUGUUUACCAAAAACACAGGACUCUGCAGAAGCCGCAAGGCGACGUAUAGGGUCUGACGCCUGCCCGGUGCCGGAAGGUCACGCGGAGGAGUUAGCGCAUCGCGCGAAGCCCCGAAGCCAAGCCCCGGUAAACGGCGGCCGUAACUAUAACGGUCCUAAGGUAGCGAAAUUCCUUGUCGGGUAAGUUCCGACCUGCACGAAAGGCGCAACGACUUGGGCGCUGUCUCGACCAUGGACCCGGUGAAAUUGCACUGGUCGUGAAGAUGCGACUUACCCGCGGAAGGACGGAAAGACCCCGUGAACCUUCACUGCAGCUUGGCAUUGGCCGCUGGUCCCGCGUGUAGAGGAUAGGCAGGAGGCAUCGAUCCGGAGGCGCCAGCCCCCGGGGAGCCGCCCUUGGAAUACUGCCCUCGCGCGACCGGCGUCCUAACCCGAGGCCGUCAACCGGCUCGGGGACCGUGCCAGGCGGGCAGUUUGACUGGGGCGGUCGCCUCCUAAAGGGUAACGGAGGCGCGCGAAGGUCCGCUCGGGACGGUCGGCAACCGUCCUUUUGAAUGCAAGAGUACAAGCGGGCUUGACUGCGAGGCCCACAAGCCGAGCAGGUGCGAAAGCAGGCUCUAGUGAUCCGGCGGCCCCGAGUGGGUGGGCCGUCGCUCAACGGAUAAAAGGUACUCCGGGGAUAACAGGCUGAUCUUGCCCAAGAGUCCACAUCGACGGCAAGGUUUGGCACCUCGAUGUCGGCUCAUCGCAUCCUGGGGCUGAAGUAGGUCCCAAGGGUUGGGCUGUUCGCCCAUUAAAGCGGUACGCGAGCUGGGUUCAGAACGUCGUGAGACAGUUCGGUCCCUAUCCUCCG